Molecule: ribosomal RNA, 448 nt
Filed under: uncultured organism
Description: partial 16S ribosomal RNA
Rfam family: Bacterial small subunit ribosomal RNA
Source: RNAcentral
UACACUCCUACGGGAGGCAGCAGUGGGGAAUAUUGGACAAUGGGCGCAAGCCUGAUCCAGCCAUGCCGCGUGAGUGAUGAAGGCCCUAGGGUUGUAAAGCUCUUUCACCGGUGAAGAUAAUGACGGUAACCGGAGAAGAAGCCCCGGCUAACUUCGUGCCAGCAGCCGCGGUAAUACGAAGGGGGCUAGCGUUGUUCGGAUUUACUGGGCGUAAAGCGCACGUAGGCGGACUAUUAAGUCAGGGGUGAAAUCCCGGGGCUCAACCCCGGAACUGCCUUUGAUACUGGUAGUCUUGAGUUCAAGAGAGGGGAGUGGAAUUCCGAGUGUAGAGGUGAAAUUCGUAGAUAUUCGGAGGAACACCAGUGGCGAAGGCGGCUCACUGGCUCGAUACUGACGCUGAGGUGCGAAAGCGUGGGGAGCAAACAGGAUUAGAAACCCUAGUAGUCCC